UAUGAUACACAUCACAAAAAAAAAUUUUAAUUAAAUUUUGAUUUUUAGAACUACAAUAAAAAUAUUUAUUAUUUGACUAAAUUACAAAAAAUUUUUCUGUAAUUAUCCGUUUUUUUAUUAUGGCAUUUAAAAACCUACACUUUACUCCCUUAUAAAAUAAAAAAUAUUCACAUGAAAUUACGAUGUGUAAAAUGACCAUUUUGCCCCUGGCCGUUUUCGUCUUUUUUCUCAUCUUUCUCAGCUGCCCCUUCGAUCGGCUGCGAUUUCCAUCUCAAUCGGCCGCGAUUUCUCUUCAUUUCAUUCUCCACCUGCUCCCCUUCUCCUCCUGCACCCUCGCCGCCUCUCGAUUUCGACGAUAGUAGGAAAAAAAUCGAUGUGGGUGUUGAUGGAAAGAUAGGCAAUGACAACGAGGACAAAGACGAGACGGCGGAGGAGGACGAAGGAAAUGUGGGCGAGGGCGAGGCAAUGGAGGACGGCGAGGCGGCGGCGAGGCGGAAGGAGACGAAGCAACAAGAAAGAGAACGAAGGAGUAUUUUCGGCAUAAAAAAAUAUUUUAUAACGGAAUCCUAACGAUAGAGAGUAAAAUGCACAUUUUUAAUUUUACAAUAAGAUAAAGUAUAGAUUUUUAAAUGUCAGAGAAAAAAAAUAAAAAAACAGAUUAUUAUAAAAAAAAAUUUUAUAAUUUAACCUUAUUAUUUUAUCAAUUUGUUGAAAUAUUAUCUUCUUUUGUCCAGCUCAUACUAUCAAUUCAACAAUUUAAAAAUUCAAUUUCUAAUAGAGAUUGAGAAAAAUUAAAAAGACGGAUAUUUACACGGAGGUUUUGUGUAAUUUAGCUUCUUUUGUUUCAUUAGUGUGCGUUUUUUCACCUGAGCCGGGCUGGCGAGGGAAAGACGGCGUCCCAGAUGUCGCCGAAGGCUGUGGUGAUGGCGCGGUGGUGGCGGCGGUCGUUGAGCGAGAGCAAGCAGCGGAGCAGCUGCUCCAGCCCGGCGGCGUCGUAGAUCUCCUUCUCCACCACCAUCUCCGCCAUCGACCGCCGGAAGUCCCCCCGUGGGUCCUCCGACCUCUUCACCACCGCGAAGCUCUCCCCCACCCUCCCCUCAACCGCCACCGCCGCACUCCGCCGCCGGAGAAAUUUCUCCGGCGACGACACCGGCGUCUCCGUCUCGUCGUCGUCGUCCUCCUCCUCCUCCCCCUCCUCCUCCUCCUCGCCGCUCGAGAGCCGCGCGCUCCCCGCGCCGCGGCGCCUCCACCGCGGCCGUCCGCCGUCGGAGUCGAUUUUCCGGCGGGGGGAGGAGUCGCCGUCGCCGGGGGUGACGACGUGCCACUUCUCCUCCCGGCGCCAGAGGUACGCCGGCGCGCCGCCCGCGAGGGGGACCUCGUCGCCGUCGCCGUCGGAGCACAUCUGCCGGCGCCUCCGCCGCGAUCUCCGGCGAUCUGGGGAUAACGGCGUGGGUAACGGCGACGUCGCCGUCGGUGGAGCGGCAGCUGUGGAAGGAGGGGAAAGCGCGGGUUAUCCUGAAACGGAACCGCUUGGCCAUGGGAAACAACACUGCAGUAAUAAGAUCACUGCAGAGGAGGAGGGAGAUUAAAAGUUAAAACAAAAAAAAGAAAACAGAAGAAAAAGGGCGUUGCGAUUAGAAAAGAUGGUGGGCCAUUUUAUACACUCUGCUAGAUUACUUUGGUAGGAAUGUUUGUUACACCGUUGGCUUCAGCUGUGAGGGGUGGUGGGAUGGUGCGUCCUAAAAUAGGAGCCGGCUUGGAAAAAUUUGAUAUUAUCAUUUUUAUAAUUAGAGAAACAGUAAAUGCAUAUCUACUCUUCAAAAAUUAUGAGCCGUUUGACAUUUUAAUUCAUAAAUUUUAUUUUUUUAUAAAUUUUAGUUCUAUAAUCUAUAAUUUAUAAUCCAAUUUAGUUGACUAAAUAUUAAAAUAUUACUAAUGUAAAAGUGAUAUAGCAUUUAUAUUACAUUUUACCACCUUCACAUUAGUGAUAUAUGAAAGUUUGAGCCAUAAUUUAUAAAAAAAAAUUAAAAUUUGGGAACUAAAGUGUCAUCCUCUGAUAGUUUGAGGAGCAAACAUGUAAUUUAUCCUUAGAAAAAUUAUAGCUAAGCGUUUUAGAGGGGAGCAAGCUCAUGCUAAGCUCAGCAAUAUAUCGGGUGAAUUGCACCGAAGUAGUCCGCGGAGUUCUCAUCCACUUUUGCUUUUGUUCUCAAAAUUCUCACUUUAGUUGUUGUCCUAAUUUACAUUAGCAAUGCAGCUAGAAUUUUUUUUACUUUGUAUAGGUCGCAUCUGUAAAACCAUACAUUAUGCAUGGAGCAAUUGUUCUGUAUAUCAAUUCCACGGUUCGUUCUUUAAAUUUUUCUUGCUGCAAAUUUAAAUGGUUGAAUUGAGACUAUGAGAUGAAUAAAGAGCCAAUCAUAUAUAGAAGUACGGCUAGAACUUUUAAACGUAAACGAGAUCAUUUAAUUUGCAUCAUUUUCAACGUCUGAAUUAACGAUUAAUACUGUUAAACACUAUCGUAACUAUCUAAACUUUUUAUGCCUCUAAUUUUAUAAUUUUUAAAAAUAAAUUUUCAAAUAAGCAGAUGGUCUCAAAUAAUCUUAUAAUACUCCUUUGAAAUAGUUAAUUUUGAAAUCAUAUGAAUGCUACGCAAAUAACGCAAUUUAAAACCUAAAGCGUUUAUAUAGUCUAGAUCAAUUUUGGCGGUGGUAAUAGUCAAUCGGACCGUCCUAUCACCAACAAUGACACGAAAGUAUAUAACUUCAUUUAAUUUUUGAAAUAUUCCAGCUUCAUUCAUUCUUUCUUUUUCUUUGCAAGAUUUAUUGGCAAAAAUUUUGAAAGUUUUUUAUUUUUGAGAGAUAGGUAGCAUGUUAGCCGUUUCGUUUAUUUUAUUUUAAAAAUAAACAUAACUGAAAAUAUAAAUCAACUAGGAUUCGAACUUGAGACCUAGGGUAUCACCCACAAAGUCCUUUAAAAUUUUGAGAAUUGUUAAAUACAAAUAAUUACAUUCAAAAUUUCAAGAAUCAAAUUAAAAACUUGAGUAGCAUAGUACAACCAAUACUCUGAAGAUUUGAGUAGCUUCCAGAUGAUUCGUUGCAGUGGAAUCCCAGAAUUCCGCUUCCCACGUGUAAAUAGAGUUGGGCGGGAGUAGAUUUCCAAAUUCCAAGAAAAAAUUGCUUGAACCUUGUGUACUAUUAUACUCUAUGAACCAAAAGGGCAUUUAGUUAGAUGAAAUUGUAAAUGCAUUAUAAUUAAUCUAUAUAGUCAAAAAUAUAUCAGUUAUACUAUACUCUUAUGAAUAUAAUUUUUUUUGUACUCAUAAGUUUUUGACCGCUAGAUCUACUCCUUUUAUCAUUUCCACCCGUUAGAUCAUACUAUUAAACCAACCACCAUUCAACCCUAACAGACCACUAUUGACCUAAUCGGAGACCACUAUCAUCUUAAUCACGCAUCUCUUCAUCCAAUGGUCGAAAAUUUAUGAGUACAAAGAGGGCUAUAUUCAUAAGAGUAUAGUAGCCUUAGCCCAGUUAUAUAUAUAUAUAUAUAUAUAUAUAUAGGGUCCGGCUACUAUCCUAUUAAUAGGAUUGGGACCCUUAUCCUAUUAAGUCGAUUUGAAUGAUCGGAACUUUAAAUUGAAAAUCGGCACCGUUGAAGUUGAUCUACACAAUUAAAAUUGUUUAGAAACCAAAUUUUGUAAUAUUUAAAAAUCAUUAUCAAGUUCAUCUUAAGAGUUAAAAAAUGAACGGUCAUAAAUGAAUAACCUUCUUAAAAUAGAGGUUAGACUUUCUCAGUUUGUAAUCAGAGUUAUCAAAUAUUAUCUAAAUAGUAUAAAGAAUUUUCUAUCAAAAAUUUAAGCAAUUUGGAUUGCUCUAUACCGUUAAACAAGCAAACGGCUCAUAUAGGCUGUCAAAAAUUGUCGAUUUUACGACACUUUGAUCACCAUGUAAACUAUUAUCAAAAUUUAUGAAAUUUAGUUUCCAGAUAUUUCAAAUAUUCUAGAUCAACUUCAACGGCUCCGAUCAUCGAUUUGGAAUCUCGAUCAUCAAAAACAACUUGAUAGGACAAGUGCUCCUAUCCUAUUAAUAGGAUAGUAGCAUUAGCCUAUAUAUAUAUAUAUAUAUAUAUAUAUAUACUAAAAAGUGUUAUAACUAUAAAUAAGUUAUUUGUGACAUAUGGUUCAGAACAAUAUUUUUAAAUUUUAUCACUUUUUAUAUAUAUAAUAGUGAGAUUAUUAUUAAUGUAGAAGAAACAAAAUUUUUUUUUUUAAAUAAAAAUUAUUUUUUAUUUAAAGUUACUCUUUCAAAAUAAUACAAUUGGUAUUAUGACUAGUUUGGACAUAAUUUUUAAUUCUGUUGUUGAUCUUCCUGGUAUAAUUUCAACUAUAGAAAUUAAAUUUAAAUAUAUAAAAAAAACACAAUAUUUAGAUCUAUAUUCAAUUACAAGUUUGCAUCUACAUAUAAUUAAAUAGUUCCUACGAUUUCAUUAUCUAUGCAAUAAAAAUAAGUUUUAUUAUAAGGGUGCGUUUGGUUCGCGCUAUUUUUUAAAGAUUCCUAGUAAUCCAAUAGGAAUAAAAAUAUAUGACGGUGUUUGGCUAAACGCACUAAGUAAUCUAGUUGGUAAUAUUAGAUUCACUUGGGAAUAAGAUUCACACCAAAGUACUAAUCUCAUUCCCUUGAGAGAUGGUGGGUAUCCUCAUAUUAAUGGAUUGGAGUAAUUAUAAUAUGUCUAAUCUCUUUCUUUCUUCCUACCCGCCGGCAAUUGAUAUUAUUUUUCGUUACACUCUAAGGUAUCGUUUGGUUCGGGGAUAAGCAAAAAGUUGGUAUUCCAGGGAUAGGUAUAAAUUGAGGUAUAAGCGGGGAUUAGAUCAAUUUUGCGUUUGGAUGAAAAUUGGGUUAUUCCUGGGAAUAAGAAAAAUAACGUUUGGUUAGGUAAGAUAAAAUAAGAUUUAAAGUGGGUAGUUAUAAAUAAAAAUUAAUAAUAUUAUCACUUUUUUAUUUAUAUUAGAAUUUAAAUAUUUAUAUUUUAUAUUUAUAUUUUAAAAUUUAAAUUUUAACUUUUAAAUUUCAAAUUUUGAAAUUAAAAUUUAAAAUUUAAAAUCUCAAAUUUUAAAUUCAAAAUUUAAAUUUUAAAUUUCUAACUUUAAAUUUAAGAUCAAAUUUAAAUUUGAAAAAAAAUAAAAUUCAAAUUUAAAAUUUCAAAAAUUUAAAAUUUUAAAAUUUAAAUUUAAAAUUUAAAAUGUGGAAUUUAAAAUUAUAAACUUUAAUUUUGAGAUUACAAAUUUUAAAUUUUAAAUAUAAUUUAUUAUAAUAUUUUAAAUUUUAAAUUUAUUUAAAUUUUAAAUUUUAAUUUAUUUUAAUAUUUAAAUAUAAUUUAUUAUAAAAUUUAUUAUAAUAUUUAAAUAUAAAUAAUAUGUAUUAAUAUAGCACAAUUAAUAAUUUUAUUAUAAAAAUAAUGUAUUAUAAUAUAUAAUAUAUUAUAUUUAUAUAAUUUAGUUUUAAUUUAUUUUAUAAUUUUAAUUAAGUUUGAAAUUAAGCAUGAAAAUAGCACUAUUCCACCAAAAUGGUGGAAUAGUAAAAAGCUUGCUAUUCCGGGAUAACCGAGAAUAGCAAGCUUUGACCGGAAUAAAAUAUUUCGGUAAAAAAUGAUCCCGUUUGGCGGAAUAAUGGGGAUAACUUUUGUUAUCCCCGCUUAUCCUCCUAACCAAACGGGGCCUAACCUUAUAUCUCUCUCUAAACUUAUUUUUCUAUCUAAAUUCAACUUUUUUUCUCUCUCUCUUUCUAAAAUUUCAACUCUCUCACUCCCUUUAAUUUCGACUAUAUUUUUCUUCCUAUUUUUUUAAUUAUGCUCUCUCUCUCUCUAACUUAUACUCUCUCUCCCUUUUUUCUAAAAAUAUGUUGAAACUUUUUGUAACAUUAUCUAAAAUUAAUUAAAUAAAUAAAUUAAUUAAUUGUAUAUUUUUUGUAACAUUAAAUAACAUGGCUAAUUAAUAUUACCGUGCGAACCAAACAUAGGAAUUUCACAUUCUUAGUAAUAGAAUGAAUAGGAAUAAGAUUCUCGGAUAUCUUUUAUUCCUAGUAAUCUUUCAUAAUGCGAACCAAACGCACCCUAAUAGGGAUCCAACUGGAAUGUUUCUCGAAGUAAACCGAAGAGUUUACUUUUACAUUGUUUCCAGUGAUGGAAUUUGACUUAACGAGUCACACCGUUAAGCUUAAUUUAGGUCAUUUGAACUUUUUAAAUUUCAAAUUUUAUUAUUUUGUUAUAUAAUUUGUCUAGUAUUCUAGUGGUCUUAAAUUUAAAAAUUUUUAAUGGCUAAUAUAAAAAAAUUUUGAUACUACUUAAUUACUAGGCAAAAAAUAUUCCAAAAUCACAAAAAAUAAAAAUAAAAAUAAAAAAUUUAAAUAGCAUAAAUUAUGUUUAAAGGUAUAGAUCGUGGAUUUAAAUUCUCUACAGGUAGAAAAAAUAUGAAAAUAAAAUUCUCUGUUUACUAUCAAAAGUACUCGCAUCAUUUUUCUAACAUAUAAAAUUUUCAACAGCUUAUAGUCUAUAGAUCCUACGUGUAAAAUAAUUAUAUAUUUUAAAAUAAUCUAUAAUUCAAAUAAUAAGUAUUUUCAAAAAUAAAGAAUAGUAAUAAUACACCCUAAAAGAUGGCGUAGAUCUUAAAACCCCACAUUCGAAAGUUUACAAAUUCUAAUAAAUUUGCUAUAUUAAUAAUUUAAUAAAAUAUUAAAAAUUAUUGACAUUCGAAUGAAAGAAACGCAAGAUUUAUGCUUCUUUUAAAAUGUAUAUAUAAUAUUGUUCUUCAAAGACAUAUAAUUUUUUAAAAUUAAUUACAUACAGCUCUUUGCAAAUAUAUCGAAUAGCAGAUAUAUUCUUAGAAAGUUCAAAUUUUUAUAUUUAUUUUUUUAAAAGUUCUAACGUUUUCAAAUAUACCUCUAUUAUUAAGAUCUGUUAGAAAAAUAUAAUUAACUAUAAAUAAAAUACUUAAUCCUGGUCAGUAAUUAAAUGAGGUAAAUUGACCUUUUUACCCUUCUUAUAUUAUGUGUUAUUGCAAGAAAGAAGAAGAUGAUCGUUGGUAAUUUUUGAAAGGAUAUUUUCACAUAAUUUCAAUUGUUGGAGCUUUUGGAGGGACUUAUUUGUGAUAACAAAAAUAUUAUUUCAUUUAUCUUAUAUUAAAAAAUAAGCAGUACUCUAACAGCAGAGGGCUAAAUAUUUAUAUAACUGAACUUUUGUAAAAAUAAAUAUGAAAAGUUGAACUUUGUAAGAAUAUAUUUGUUAUUCGAUAUUUGUAUAGAAAACUAUAUGAAUUAACCUUUUUUUUGUAUGUGAACUUUUUAAAUAGGGUUAAUUUCAUACAUAUCCCUGCAAAUAUAGUAAAUUACAAAUAUAUUUCUAUAAAUUUCAACUUUUAUAUAUUGUUUCUAGAAAAAUUUUAAUAUUUUCAAAUUUGUCCCCGGCGUUAAAAUCUAUUAGAAAACUUUAAUUAACCAAAGAUUAAAUGCCUAACUUUGGUUAAUUUAUGAGAUAACUGGACUUUUUUUCUCUUAUGUUAUACUGUUGUGGUUUUUGGAGGCACAUAUUUGUGAUUGCAAAAUUGACAUUUAACUAAAAAUAUAAAUAAUUUUAUAACGGUAACAAACCAGAGGAACAUAUUUGAAAAUAUUAUAAUUUUUAUAGAAACAACAUAUAAAAAUUGAACUUUGUAAAGAUAUAUUUAUAAUUUACUAUAGAUUUACAGAGGCAUGAAUGCAUCUAACCUUUUUAAAUAUGUGAUGUGCAGGUACACCAGGUGCAGGCAAUUAUUUCUCGUCGUUCCCCUUCCCCCCAGUGGCCGUAACUGUGCGCGGGAGUUACGAGGCUCCGAAACCGUACCAUCUUUGACGAGUUCCCACGCAACACCCACAUACAAAAGCUCCGCAGAGCCCAAAUAUUCAAACCGAGGAAUCCAUCACCUAUUCGUACCAAAACUGCAUUCACGAAACUCGUCCAAUAGACAAUCGCCACGUGGUUUGAAAGAUAGGACGCCUUGUUUUUUGCGCACGUGGCGUGAUAGUUGUGGGCUGAUGGACUGUACUGAAUUGCAGCGAUGCGUGCGGAAUGGGGGACAUUCGGUUUAAAGGUGGAGAGUGAAAAUUUUUUCGAGACACCCUCAACUGUAGCAAAUUUGAAAUGAGCCCCUGAAGUUUAAUUUUUUUAAUUUAAAAUUUUUAAAUUUUUAAAGAAAUCAGCAUUCUAUCUCAUUAGGAAAUUCGAAUUGGACCGAGUUAUGAUCGAAAUUCUUUAUCUAUUCACAUUAGUUUAAUUAUUGUCCCUUUUUUAACUGUUCGAAUUUUUCGAUUCAACAAUAUAUGUUGAGAUAUUUAUUUGAAUGUCAAAAUGAAGUUGGUUAUAAUUUUUUUUUUUUUUUUUUUUUGUGAUUGAAAGUAUAGUAUUUUAUUUUUGCUCAUUAAAAAAUCUUGACAUAUAUAAUUUAACAAAAUAAUACAUUUCCUACAUGAGAUAGUUGAAUUCAUCUCCGAAUAAAAAAAGUUAAAAUUUCAUACAUAAUUUAUUGUUGACAUUUGAUCAAAUUUUUCAUCAUCUAAAUACCACUACCUUCGUAAGCAAUAAGGAGAAAUACGCUAAAGAAGCUAUGUGUGUAUCCUAACAUAUUUCUAAGGAGAAAAAAAACCAAGCCGCUUAUUUUUAAUCAUACAAAAAAAAUUGGCCUUUUUAUAAAAAAAAUUACUAAUUUUAUAUUUUUGCAUAUUCCAACCAAUUAUUUUAAAAAUAAAUCAAAAUAUUCCUAUGUCUUAAAUACCUAAUAUAUCAUUUCUUUGCUCUUUCCGGAUCUAUGUCUCCACCGUUGGUAGUAUUCACGAGCGCUCAUCUUAUUUUUGCCAUCUCCACACCAAUUAUAUUGUCGCGUUCACCUCAUGGUGCUCCUUACAAGAAAAAGGAAGAUGGUGAAACUUGAUCCGCUAGUCGUCGUGGCCACUCAUAGCCUCACUUGAGAUGGAGAAAAUGCAGCAAACAAGGAGGGUGAUGCUGAUCAAGAAUACUUCCAAAGCUUGUUAAUGAAGCUAAGUGUAGCCGACAUUGGGAAGAUGGUGGCGAUAGUGUGAGAGGAGAAUCUAAGGUACAACAUAAUGUUACACUAUUUGAAUAUAUAUUACACUAUUUAGUAAAAAAAAUUACACAAUUUUAUAUUUUAUUUUAUGUAUUAAAUAAUAUAACUUUGUUACUAAAUAAUUCUUCAUGUGUUCAGAGUUCAGAUAGUGCAACAUUGCGUCGUUUCUCAUAUUUUUCUUCUCUUGUUGCCGCCGCUAGUUUGUCAUCGUCGAUCACGCUCAUAAAGCCCUCGAGAAUCUAUUUCAGAAGCAUUCUUAACCAAUGAUCAUCGCCUUUUACCUCUGCCGCCUUCGUCUCCAUCUCCAAAACGUCAGUCUCGUCUCUACCGCCGCAAUCUGGCUGGCGAUUGCCAAAAACGGCAACAGCCACGAGCUAAGUUCGUCAUCGUUCUCUCACUCGAGGGUGAGGUAACAGAAAAGUGCAGUGAUGAUGCAGAGACAAUGGGAGAAAAAAAGAGCUAAAAGAUAAAAAAAAAAUAUGUGUAUUUUGAUUGGUUUGAAAAAAAUCGAUCAAAUAUAUAAAAAUAAAAAGAAUAGUUUAUUUUUAUAAAAUCGCAAAACUACUGAUUUUUUUCUUUUUUUUUUUAGCACAAGGGCUAGAAAAAUUUUCAUGGGGUUGUCGAUAUUCAGGAGAAGAAUAAAAGGGGAAAAAAAAGUGACUAAGUCAAUUUAAAAAUAACGCAUAGUUGAAGGGUAUACUUACAUAUUUACCUACGUUUUGGCCGUUUGGGGAAGUUAUAAUAAUAAUAAUAAUAAUAAUAAUAAAACAUUAAAAAAAAAAAAAAAAAACACUACGCCUGAGGGGGACUUUGAGUUUGAAGUAGGCACGGUGACAACGCGGAUACAGCGAGUAGGGGGCCACGCCACAGCGCCACGUGGCGAUAAUCCAACGGAUACACGACAACACGGUCUCGCUCUCUACAUCCCCCUCUCUCUCCAUCACAUCCGAACUGGAGCCCACGGUGCACCGCACCCUCGUCGUGUUCCUCGUUGUCCGCGGUCCGUCCGAUCUCGAUCGGAGGGCGGGGGUGUCUCCUCGUAGUCAAACCUGUUGCCUCGCUUGGGAGGGCCCCGCACUGGGACGUCCGAUCGCGUCUUGAGUGGACGGCUACGAUUGAGACGGGGCGUGGAUAACACUUCGUACCUGGAACCCGCACGCGAAAGUUUAUGCGGACGCGCUCGGCGGUUUUUGAUCGAGUAAAUGGGCGGUUGGGAUUUUACGGACCGCUAUAAAUAGGCAUGUGAGAAAUAAAAUUUAUUGUAUAGCACUUUCUCUUUCACCAUAUUAUUUAUAAUUAAUUUAUUAUAUUUUUUUAAAAUAAUAAUAAUAAUAUUUUUUAUAAAAUUAUGAUGAAUGAAUAAAUUUUAGAAAAUUAAUUUAAUUAAUUAGAAACUUAUAUUAAUAACGUCACUACGGUAUUCUUAAAAAUUUCGCGACUUUGAGGAGGAUUUUUUAAAGAUUUUUCUUAUGCGGUUGUCCGUACGAAGCAGGGCAUGGGUUUGCGGUCUCUUUGACUUGGUGGUUGGUACAAUAGUGUUUAUUAGUGAUGCAAACGGAACGGAUCCGUGGCCGACGGGUUUUCUCACCUUUCGUGUUAUAUUUUUUUGUUGGAAUAUUUUUUAUUUUAUUUUUGAUUUUUACUUACUGUUCAAUUCGAAACUUUUAAGCAUCCGUUUAGUUCGGGGUUAAGAGGUUAUUCCACCUCUUAACCCCGAAGUUAUUUUCAAAUAUCUAAUUUGGGAGGUGGGGUUAGCUAAUCCUAUUCCAAAUGGACUAUCCCGAUAACCCCACCCUACCCUACCACUCCAAUCAAAUAAAAUACUAUUUUACCCACUAUUCUUCUUAUUCCACCUACUCCAACUAAAUACUAUUUUACCUAUAUCUGAAAUAAACCAAAUUCUCAACCAAACACAAAAUUACUCUAACCCCACCUUAAUCCUGAACUUAACUCUAUCCUUGGAAUCAUAAGUUUUUACUUAACCCCGAACUAAAUGGUGGCUUACUUAUUGUCUCAUUCGAGACGGAUCAGGACGAGAGUAAAUUUUUGGCGAAUUUUUGACGGAUCUUAGCGAAAUUGAAGAAAGAAAAGAGUCUUCCGCCUCCCAUUCCAUUUACUUAACGAAUCGGAGCGAAUUUGGGGCGGGUUAUAAUUUUCUAUAUUUGUUGUUCUCACUUACCACCUAUUUGGAACAAGUCGGGGCAGCAGCUCUACCAAUCCAAAUCCAUUUGCAUCCCUACUGUUCAAUCGCUACAGUCAAAUCUCUCGGCAUGUGGAUUUUAGGGCCUAUCCGUUUAAAAUUAAAAACAGUUUUUAGUUAAAUAAUAAAUUAGAUGCAAAUUAUUUCUUUCAUUGUUGUUUAUUUGGUAGAGAAUUAAUAAUUUUUCCCGUAAUUUUUUUUUCCAUUUUUGUGUUUGUGUUAUGAAAACAUUUUACACCACCACAUAAAAUAUAAAAUAACUAAAUUUUUUAAUUUGUUUUCAUAUUAACAUUGUCACAACUCAAAACAAAGUCAACUAGGAUAUUUUUUAAAAAGGAGAGGUUACAUGUGAAUUUAGUUUAUGGCGAAUUAAAUACCGAAAGUGAAUAUUUACAACGAAAAAUCACUUUCCCUUUUUAUAUGUUUAGUGAAACAAAUAUGCUGGCGUAAGUAUGAAACGGUUAUUUAAAACUAAUAAGUUAGUUAGCUAAUUAACAAUAAAAAUAAGAGUAAUUACAACUUCCAAAUAAAAUAUUUUUCUAAUUAAUAAACUUCAAAGUACUGAUAAAAUAAUAAGUUAAUUAGUUAGCUAAUUAACUAUAAAAAGUUAAUAUGUUAGUUACUAAAUAAAUAAUCUAGUUAGGUAGAUAAUUAGUUAACAGAUUAAUUAAAUUCGUCAAAAUAUUAUAAUUUAAUAAAUAUUAAUAUUAAUUAAUGGAUAAGCGCAUAAAAUAAUUAAUUAUUUAAUUAUUUAGUUAAUUAUGAACAAAAAAAAUUAAUGGCUUAAGCAGUUAGGUAAAAAUUUAUCAUUUUCCAGACGGGUGCUGUGAAGGCAAAGUAGGACAAAAAUUGUGCGGGAAGGGUUUUCCAAAUUAUCCAUUUGAGGGCAAGAUUUUUUUUGCGGCCUAGUCUGUGGAUCUCACGUCGCGUGGCAAUUUGGUAAGAUAGUUGAAAUUUACUUUUCUUCAACUAUUAGCGGAUUCAAAAUAUUUUUAGACCCAAAAAUAAUAAAAAUUAUAACAAAAAUAAAAAUUAAGUAUUAACUAAAUACUGUUUAGUGGAUUCGAAUUCGAGCUAACCAUAGAGUAGACCUGGCUGGAUUCGAAUUCGAGCACUCAUUUCCGGAGCCCGGCCCGUACUGUUUAGUGGGCUUCGGGCUGGACCGACGUGAGAUUCUAGAACCCAGGCCUAAAGUCCAAAAUAUGUCAGGCAUUUCUUACACCCAUGUUUUAAAGUAAAUCCUACAUUAAGUAUAAAUUUAUAUAAUAAAAAAUUUAAUUAAAGAGUAUAAUGCUAUAACAAUAGUAUAAUAUGCAUUUAUUUAUGUAGAUAUUUGUAUGUUUGUGUAAUCGUGUGUGCGGCCCCCUCUCGCACACAUAAAUAGAUAUAUUCAUGCGCAGAAUAAUAAUAACUAAAAAAAGGUGGAAUUGGGCUCAAAUGGUAUAUUAUUCAUGAGGGAUUCUAACCAUUUAUAUCAUACAAGUAUAAGACAUGCAUAGUAAGUAUCAAUCAAUCAACCCAAAAAGAAAAAAGAAUAAAUAAUAAAUAUGGUACAUAAUUAAGGAGAAUAUGGAAAGUAAAUGAGAGCACAUAUGGUAGUAACCACAGGUUCAGAGGUAGUCGGCAUCACAAAAUGCCCAAAUAAUAGGAGCUGAUGAAUUGUGAAGAAGUAGACCAUGAUAUAAUGUGUUUCGAAUAUAUUGCAGAAUUCGUAGGACCGCAACAUAAUGAGUUGUUUGGGAAACUAACAUAAACUGACUAACAAUUUGAAUAGCAUAACUGAUAUUGGGCAUAAUAAUUGUAAGAUAAUUGAGACUACCAACCAAUUGUCGAUAGAGAGUUGGAUCGGAAAGAAAUGUGCCACCAGUAGGCUGAAGUUUGACAUGAAGUUGGAGUGGAGUGUCGGUUGUUUGCUGUCAGUUAAUCCAGCACGAAAAAGUAGUUCAGAAGCAUAUUUUACUUUGGAAAGAAAUAGACCUUUAGUUUGAUAAUCUAUUUCAAUUAUAAGAAAAUAGUGAACUUGUCCAAGAUCUUUUAUUUCAAAAUGUUUAUUGAGCUGGUGUUUGAUAUCAAAAAUUCCCUUCAUACCAUCACCUGUAAUAACCAUAUCAUCAACAUAUAAAAAAAGACCGACUUUCUCUAACGCAAGUGGCAAAGGGUUUGGUGGUUGGUACCCGAGGUCCCAAGUUCGAAUCCUAGUUGAUUCAAAUUUCAAGCUAAAUUUAUUUCUAAAUGAAAUAAAUGAAGCCGGUAACAUGCUACCUAUCUCUAAAAAAAAAAAACAUAUAAAAAAAGAACAAACAUAGCAGAGUCAUGAUUGCUUUGAGAUUAAAAGCCCUGCUGGAGGAUGGUACAAUGAAACUUCUCAAACCAUGCUCUUGGAGCUUGUUUAAAACCAUACAAAUUAAGCUUUGCGAUGCUUACACAUAUAUUGUGGAGGAUGAGAUAAGCCCAGAGGAGUCAUAUAUAUAUACUUCAUCAGAAAGAUCACCAUUUAAAAAUGCAUUCUUGACAUCUAUCUAGUAAAGUUUCUAACUCUGAAUAGAUACCACAGCCAACAGACUAAGCACAGUAGUCAUUCGUGCGACAGGAGCAAAUGUUUCCUCGUAAUCGAUUCCAUAUUCUUGGGAAAAGCCUUUAGCAAUGAGUCGUGCCUUAUCUCAUUCUAUAGAACCAUCUAAUUUGGUUUUAAUUUUAUAGAUCCAUUUAUACCCAAUAGCAAAUUUUUCCAGUGACAAUUUAACAAGCUCCCAAGUAUUGGUCUUUUGAAGAGCAGUGAGUUCCUCAUUCAUGGCUUGUUGCCAUUUAAGAUCAGAGAAGGUUUCAUAGUACGAUUUGGGUUUAUAGUGGGAGAAAAUAGAGGAUAGGUAACAAUAAUAGUCAUUGAGAUAACUUGGUGGUUGUCUUUUGCGAGUUGGAUGAGAUCUUUCUGGUUGCAUAUUGUCUAGAUUGCUAGAUGGGCAAGAAGGGUUGAGACAAAGAUCAUGUUGACCAUUGGCGGUUGUUUGUAAGGGAAUAUCAGAUGAGGAACUCUGUUGAAAUAGGUCUAACAGUGGAGAAUUGGAUGAAAACUUUGAUGCUGAAAGUGUGAAGAAAUUUAUUCCCCAAAUGUGAGAUGACUAGAGAUACACAAUUUUUUAGCAAUAGGGUCAUAACACCUAUAGCCUUAAUUUUGUUGAAGUCCAUUACCAAGAAAGACACAUAUAGCAGUUUUCUUGGUUAGUUUGUUGCACUCUCUUUUAGGUAGAAGAACAAAACAUGUAGAACCAAAAAUACGAAGAUGUGAGUAAUCUGGACUAACAUUAUGAAAACGUUGAAAAAGGGUUUCAUCAUUUAUGAUAGGUGAAGGAAACGAUUGAUAAUAUAAACAGUAGUAAGUAUAGCUUCACUCCAAAUUUCUUAGGAACAGAAGCCGAAAGAAGUAGAGUGUGUGCAGUUUCAAUAAUGUGACAGUGUUUUCUUUUAGAAACUCCAUUUAGUUGAGGUGUCUCAACACAAGAUAAAUGAGAAAGAGUACCUUGAUAUAUAGGGUAUUAUUUGAAAGCAUGUGAUAUAUAUACUCCGCCAGAAUCAGAUCAAAAAUUUUUUAUAGCUUUUGAAAACUGGUUUUUUAUCAUAGUUGAAAAUUCUAUGUAAAUAUUUAAAAAGUCAGCUCAAUUAUGCACCAAAUAUAUCCAUGCAUAGUGGGUGUAAUCAUCUACAAAUAUAGCAUAAUAAUGUGCAGCUCCCAUUGAGGGCAUAGGAGCUGGUCCCUAAAUAUCAAAGUGAACGAAAUCAAAUGGAGCAAAAGUUACAGAUUCACUAAAGGAGCAUUUAGUUAGAUGUAAUUAUAAAUGCAAUGUAGUUAUAGAUGCAUGUAGUUGAAAAUAUAACAGUUACAACUAUAUACAUUCUGUUUGGUUGGAUGUAGUAGAAAGUGCUGCAAAUAUAAAUAAUUUAUUUGAUUGCACGCAGUUGAGAAAUAAUUUUUAAAAUUUUAUCAUUUUAUAUAAUAUGAUAGUGAGAUUGCAUCCAAUGCAAAAAAGAAAAUUUUUUUUGUUUAAAAAAUAAUUAAGUAGGUAAGUAUACUUUUUAUUUAAAGUUACUCUCUCCAAUUACUGUAGUUGGAGCUACGGUCAACUUGGGUGUAGUUCGAAUUGUUGCAAUUGAGCCUCCUCCUGCAAUUCCUACUACAGCAGUUAGAAUUAAAUACAUCAAACCAAACACUGAAUUUGCAUUUGCAUGCAGUUACAACUACAGUGCAGUUGCAACUACAUGCAACAAAACGGCCCCUAACAGUAAAAGCAAGUGCAUGUUGUUUGGCAAGUUUGCAAUCAGCACAACAAAAGUCUUUAUUGAAAGAUACAUAUCCUAAUAAUCCUUUAUUAACCAAAAACUUAAGGCAAGAAAAGGAAACAUGUAAGUCUUUGAUGCCAAAAUUUAGAUGUAGAAGAAAAAGGAAAGAGAAGAGGAAGUAGUAGAAGAGACAGCACAAUAAGUACCCUGGGGAGAGAGAUGAAGAUUAUCAACGACAGCCAACCAGCCAACUCUAUGCCCUGUCGCAACUUGCUUCCCCGUCUUGCAAUCUUGUACAAUUACAACCAGAUAAAUUAAAUAUUUUAGUAAAACCAAGUUCACAAAGUUGUCUAACUAAAAUUAAAUUCAUAGAAAGUUUAGGUACAAGAAGUGUAUUUGGUAAAGAUAGGUUUUCAGAUUGAAGAAGGCCAAUGUGAGUGGCAAUGACGAUAGAGCCAUCGGCUAUUCAAAUUAUAGGAGAUGAUACUGUAGUUGUAUGUUUAGUAAUGCAUGAAGGAUCAUAUGUAAUGUGGUUGGAGGCACCGGAAUUGAAAAACCAAGAAGUAGGAUAAAUACUUGAUGGAGUAGAAGAAGCUGACAAAGAUGAAUUUGUACCAAUAUAUACUAAGAGCUUGUUUAAUCAUUGCCUAUACAUCAUCUGCAGCGAGUAUAGUGGAUAUAGAAGAACAUGCAGAGUUGCAAGAUUGUGGCAACCAAUGAUCAGACAUUGUCGCAGCCUUUUGCUGAUAUAUGUACUUCUUCUUGUUCUACAUAUUGCGAGAAGUUGGUGCUGUACAAAAUUUAACAGUAUGUCCAAACUGCUUGCAGUAGUUGCAUUGCACUUGUGGCAAGUCACGCGGUGGACGUAAGUUUGGUGUAGCGAGGUUGGAUCGCACGUCACGAUGCGCAUCAGAAAAUGGCUUAUAACGAGGGGAGGCAGAAGUAGCAAGACCAGAGGAAUUGUAUGAAAAAUAAAAAUUAACAGUACCUUUGCUUGUUUCUUCAGCAAUUAACUUUGAAGGAGCCACAUCAACAGUAGGAAGCGGUGUGCGAUAAGGAAUAGAGGUACGUACGUACAGAUUCGUAAUCAUCUUGUAAAAGCCAGGAGAAAUUAGACAAGUCGAGUUUCUUCAAGUAUCAGCUGAUACUGAUAGUAAAGAUCAGUAUCAGCUGUCAACUUUGGCUCAGUUAAUGCUAAUUGGUCCCAAAUGAAGGACAUCUGAGAGUGAAAAUCUGAUACGGAUUGGCCCUUCUGUUGCUUCAUUAUACGAAUAUCCAUUUCAAGUUUGUAUUUGCAUGCAAAAUUGGUUUGAUUAUAUAGGGUCGAUAAAAAAUCCCAAACCUCUUUUGCAUUAUCAAAGUUUUUGAAUUGCAUACUAAUAGUAGGACUAACAGCAUUAGCAAUCCAUGUUAAUAUUUUAUUGUUAUUAGUUUCCUACUUUUCAAUAGCAUCAGAGAUGCAUUCAUCACAUUUGUAUUCUCCGUAAAGUACUUCCAAAGAACUUUUCCUUUCAGAAAACUUCUCAUAAGAAAAGCCCAGUGUGUAUAUAUAGUUGGUGCCCUCAAGUUUAACAAUAAUAGGUUGUGCUGACUCCAAAUUCAUUAUGUGGAGAUAAAAAAAGAGAGAGGUUACCAAAAAUAGUUGGGAGUUUUGGUUAUAAGAGAGAGGUGCAUUCAUUGCCUUAAUAUAAGAUUAUUUGCCUUAAUACAGAACGCAAACAAACUGUUUUGUGCCUAAAUAAUUUUAUUUUUAUCAACACUUAUAAUAAGAAACUAUACCACACUUUCAUUGAGAGGCUACGACGCAUGCAUUGUAUGCUCUGAGGUUACUUCAUAGGCAUUAUGGAUCAUGAACUUUAUUUCAGAAUUUAAAAUUAUUGACCUUUAUCUCUAAACCUUUUAAGGACAUGUUUAUUUUAAGUUAGAAAACGGAAUAGAAACUUGAAAGAACCAGAACAGGAGACAGAGUGAUAAAAUGCCUCUAUUUGUUUGGCUUGAAACAGUAAUUGGAAUGAGAAUAAUUCAUUUUCAUUAUAACUGUUUGGAUAAGUAAACAGUAAUGAUUUGAACAACAUAGAUUCACAAUGUCAACAAUAUAAAAUUUGAUUUUAAAUUUGUGUUGAAAUUUGAAUUCAAUAAUUCAAAUUCAUAUUCAAUUCCAAAUUUAAAAGUAAAAUUAAAUGUAGAAAACAAACUUAAAUUAAAUUUAACUUUUGACUAAAAAAAUUAAAUUUUAAUUAGAAUACAAAUUUACUAUCUAAAUUUGUUUUCAAAAUUUGAAUGCAAAUUUAGACUCAUAAUUUAAACUUAAAAUUUAAAUCAAAUUUGAAGAAAAUUCAAAUAACAUAAUUUAAAUAUAAUUCAAAUUCAAAUUCAAAUCAAAAUUCAAAAUUGGAACUACAAAUUAAAAAAUCAAACUUAUAUUAGAAUUCAAAUUUAAACUUAAGAAUUAGAACUCAAAUUUAAAUUUAUGUUUAUAAUUUUAAUUUUGAAUUUAUAAUAUAAUAUGAAUUUAGUUUAAAUUAAUCAGUAUUUGAAUGUAACAAAUUGGUAGUGAAAAAAAAGAAGAAGAAGAAAAAGAAGAAGAAAUGGGUUUUUUUUUUUUUUUUCCAAUCCCUUUUGGAAUCAAUGUAGACUCCAACCUUCAUGGUGGGAGGCAUUUUGAGAGAAUUGGAUUCUCCUCAAAUGAAAAUUGAAAUGUGAAUCUCUUGAAUCAAACAUCGACAAUAGGAGUUACAUUUUUUUAUUCUCAUUCUAACCGUAAGAUCUUUUAAAUCAAACACGCCCUAAAGGUUUAAGGCGAUAAUUUUUAUUGUUCUUCUCUCUGACAAUAAUACAAUUACGAAUAUUAAUUAAUAAGUAUUUUGAAAUAAAGCUGUGCCCGACUCUAGAAAGAAUUGAGAAUUGUAAGAUGUCACUUAAACACCUCAAUAUAAACUUAUAAUUUCAUACCUCAUAAUUUAGGCUUUACCAUCUCACUUUUUUUUUUUUUUUUUUGAGAGAGAGAUAGGUAGCAUGCUACCCGCUUUGUUUAUUUCAUUUAGAAAUAAACUUAGCUGGAAAUGUGAAUCAACUAUAAUUCGAACUUGGGUCUCGGAUACCAACCAUCAAGCCCUUUGCCACUUGCUCUAGGAACGGUCAGUAAUUAAGGCUUUACCAUUUGAUCUGUCAUUUAAACAACUUUGAGAUUUAUGCUAUUUCACUAUAACAGAAGUAGGUUAUAGGGACACAUGUUUGGGACACUUUUAAGUAAGUAUCUCAUUUAUACUAAAACUUAAAAAAACAUUUACUAAUGCCUAAAUAUAAAGCCCAAUCCAACCAAAAAUAAAAGAUUACUCUACUCAACCCACCACACCCAGUCUAUUUGGCCUAAUUACAAAUAGAAAAGAAAAAAAAAGAAAAAUCAAUUACCAUCUUUUCUUCUCUUUUUACUCAAUCUACUGAAAUUCUAGACGAAGAGUCUUUCCUGUCGUCCUCCUCUGCCACUGCAGCCAACGAAAUAGAGUUUCGACGGUUGCUAAAUGCUUAAAUAAGUGUUUGUAAAUUAGCAGCACUCUUUUAUGUUAUAGCGACACCUUUUAAUUGUCACUAUAUACCUAGCGACCCCACAUAUAGCAACACUUUUUAAAAGUGUCGGUAAUUUUAGCUAGCAGCACUUUUUUGACAUGUACCUAUAUUUAAAAGUGUCGCUAUAGAUCGUUUUUGUUGUAGUGAAUUGUAUAAGAAAUGACGAAUAAACUAGUCUCUUGGAGACUAUCCCUAACAAUUUUUUAAUCUAUUUUUAUCUUAAAAAAAUAUUCUAGAUAGAAAUAAUAUUCAAUCAAAAACUUUAUAUUCCACUGAAAUAUAAUAAUUUUUUUAAAAGUAUUAUACUUUGAUAAAAUUCUUUUUUAUAUUAUAUGGUAAAAAAAUUAAAUUUAAAUACAUUUCCUAGGCUUAGGUCCACACCUCUCUUUUUAGGGUUAAUUUUUUUUAUGCCCUUCCAAAAAUUUAUAAUUUCAUUAAAUUGAAUAGAGAGGUAUUAGUGAUAAAUUUGUAUGUUUAAAAGGGUAUAAAUGAUAGUUUGAAUUUUGGAGGAUAAUGAUGACAAUUUGAAGUUUUGGAGGGGUAAGUUGAAAAUUUCCCUUCUUUUUAAAGUUGUAGCGUAGAAAAACGGUGCUCUGGUCAAACGAAACUUUCCCAUCGACACAAUUUCAUUGUUUUCGACACGUCAUCCCCAACGUCACCACUCACUCUCUCUCUCUGAUCCUGUGUUCACCCUCCCCCUACGGAGCACCCUCGUACGCCGAUCAUCACCGUCCAUGUUUUAAUGAACGGCCACGAUUAGCAUCUCAUGGAAAACAACAUUUCUUGCACAAAAUACCUAUUAUCUUCGAUGAUUAUUAUUAUUAUUAUUAUACGCUAACCCCCACGUACGAUUAUUAUUUUGACUAUUGCAUAAAUUCUACUAUGGAGAUGUCAACAUUUGAGUCUACAUUAUUCGUGAGUUUACAAUUUAAUAUACUAAUUCCUUUCAAAGAAUAAUUUGUUAUGUUCUUAACGCUACUUAGAACUCCAUUUGAGACCGAAGAGCACCUCACGUACACUGCAAAUACUUUUUUAUUCAAUCUUAUUAAAUUUUUAUAUUAUAAAAUAUAUUUUAGAUGAUACUUUUUAGAUGAUGUUUUAUUCUAACAUCUUCAAUAUUUGUCAUGUGCUGACAUCAUGAAUAUGUGUUACCAACGAACAUAUUUUUGUGAAGUACGGAUAAAAAUUUUCCGAACACAAUAUUAAAACAUCGGUAUAUUUAUCCAAAUAUAGUUACUUAAUGAUUAGCUCUUUACUUGAUGCUUUUACAAGCAUCGGGACUAUUGCUACCAACAUAUUAAAGUGCCGUUAGUUAUUUUUUAAAGUAUCGUUAAAUAAAUAUUUUGUUGUAGUACAUGAAUUGAACAAAAAAAUUUAGAUUGAAACAUAUUUUAAAUUACCGACCGUCUUUGGAGCAAGUGACAAAUGGCUUGGUAGUUGGUACCCGAGGUCCCAAGUUCGAAUCCUAGUUGAUUCACAUUUCCAACUAAGUUUAUUUCUAAAUGAAAUAAACGAAACAGAUAGUGUGUUACCUAUCUUUCAAAAUAAUAUACAUAUAUUUUAAAAUUUGAACACGCUGUUUUGACGAGAAAUAUUUCGGAAGUUAUUUAACAUAGCGACAUUGUACAAGGUCACCAAAAUAUAUAUAUAUAUAUAUAUAUAUAUAUAUAUAUAUAUAUAUAUAUAUAUAUAUAUAUAUAUAUAUAUAUAUAUAUAUAUAUUGGAGACACCUGUUGGGCCAAUAAGGCGCGGACACAUGGUACCUCGGUAUAGCACAACAGUUACAUUUAAGAGUGGUAAUUUUUGUUGUGCACCGGGCGCAUCAAAAAAAGAGUACUGGCAUGAAUUAAGAGAGGUUACAGUAACCGUGAGCAGUUACAGGCGAUUUUGAUCGGCUGAAAGUGGCCCGAGAAAAUAGGAAUAGUGGCUGAUCAUGGAAGGCAAUAACUGAUCAACUGGGGUGAUCUAUAAAUAGGCCAAUAAUGACCUAAAAAAAGGUCUUUUCACUGUGAACAGAAGACCACCCUUAUUUUCUAUGUAAUUUCUUCGCAUUUUUUAGGAGUAGUUCUACUUGUAAUCUUUCAUUUUUCAGUAUUUACCAUUUUUUCUCUAGGAGUAGAAGUAGACUAGAUCAACCGCGUCUGUAUGCCCAUAGGCACACUCGAUCCCUGUAUUCUUUUCACCAAUUAGUUUCAAUAUAUUUAAAUGUUUUCGGCUAUUCAAGCCGACCAAUCACUGUAUUUUCUUCCAUUCGACUCUUCGGCCGACCUUAGUUUCUGUGCCGUCCGUACAUUCGGCUCAUCCAGCCGAAUCAAUUCUACAGUAGAGAUUUUGAACUCGGCUGAUUCGAUCUCUUGUCAGUCGAAUCGCUUGAUCCAGUCGAAAGACGCAAACUUCGAGGUCACAAUUCGAAGCCGUUUUGCUUCCUUGCAUUAUUUCCGAGGAGAAUUUUUGACCAGAUAAAAAAUAAGGACUUUUGGCUACCAACAAUACCAAAAGGGCCCCACAGGGCUUGAGGAAAGAUUAAAUAGGAAAAAAAAAAAGGUGAGCUUCGGUAAAAUAGUAAAAUGAUGGUCAUCGGGAUUGUAUUUGUGGAUAUGUGAGGGCCCACUUUUAUAAUACCAACUCCGCAAGAAAUCUCGCGUAAAUUUGUCGAAAAAAAAAACUCGCAUAUGGGCUGCUCCAAUUCGCGCGCUCGCGCACCACUCUACGUUUCCAAUUUCUCCUGCACCGUCGGAUCUCGAUCCAACGGCUUGCGAAUUGUUGGUUCCUCGCCAAGUCGCACUCAUGGACCCCACCGCACGACGUAUGCGAUUGCGAAUGCUCGCACUCUCCAUAACAAUUGUUAUAGAAAAAAAAAGAAAAUGGUAAACAUGUGUGGAGACCCCUCAACUAUCGUUCGUUUGAAAUUAGCCCUUUAACUUUUCCAUUUUUUUGGAUUGAGAUUUUCUUUACUUUUAUUUUUUUAAAAGAAAAUUUUGGUUACUUUUAGUUGAAAAUUUUGUUAAAAUUUAUAGUUCUAUUAGUCAUUGAUUACUAAUUAUUUUAGUUUUAUUUACUAAAAAUAGUUGUAAUGAUUAAAUUUAUUAAAUUAAAAAAGUUUAUAAGUAUGGAGAUCUCGAUAAAAGAUUUAAAGUUGGGAGGGUCGUUUUCAAAAUGAUCAACAGUGGAGAGAUUUUUGAUACAUUUUUUUCUAAUAGUAUCAGAACAAUGGCUAUGGACCUAUGGUACACUCCACAAAAAAAAAAAAAAAAAAAAAAAAAAAAAAAAAAAAAAAAUAUAUAUAAUAUAUAUAUAUAAUAUAUAUAUAUAAUAUAUAUAUAUAUAUAUAUAUAUAUAUAUCUUUUAUUAAAUCUAUUUUAAAUUAUAAAUCUAGUAUUUACUGGAACUCCUCUUGUGUCCCCCCUACGACCAGCCAUCUCUCUCGUAAUAUUUUCCACUCUGUUUGUUUUUUUAAAAAAAAAUAUUUUUUUUAAAAGAGAAUAAUAAUAAUAAAAAUAGGACAGAAGAAAUAAAUAACCAAAUAAUCAAUCUGCUUUCUUUGAAACUUCUCCCCCAAUAUUGCUCCCAAUUCUCGGCUCCUAUAUAAUCCCCAAUCCUUCUCACUGCCCCCAAACACGAUCCCUUCUUCUCGCUUCCGUCUGUCUCCUUCUUCGACAUGGCCGCCUGCGUCGAGAACUGUCGGACCAAGUCGACCUUCCUCUGCUGGACGACCGCCGCCGCCGCCGCCGCCGCCGGCGACUCCUCCUGCAAAUUCUCCGUCUGCUCUCCGCGAAGGAGCUGUACAACUCCCAUCGAUCAAUACAGCGACGGUGCUGCUGCCGGCGACGACGACGAAGUGUGGGCUGAGCUGCGGGACGAAGCGCGGUCGGACGUGGAGGACGAGCCGAUCUUGCGGCAGUACUACUCCGACCUCAUCCUCUCCCACCGCUGCCUGGAGUCGGCGCUGGCCGCGCACCUGGCGGGCAAGCUGUGCGUGCCGGGCGUGGUGGCCAGCGGCACGCUGUACGACCUGCUGUUCUCCGCGCUCGCCGGCCGACCUGCGGGCGGCGCGCGACCGCGACCCGGCGUGCGCGAAGAUGGUGCACUGCUUCCUGUACUACAAGGGGUUCCUGGCGCUGCAGGCGCACCGGGCGGCGCACCGGCUGUGGGGGGAGGGGCGGAGGGCGGCGGCGCUGCUGCUGCAGGGGCGCGCGUCGGAGGCGUUCGCGGUGGACAUCCACCCCGGGGCGGCGGUCGGGGAAGGGGUGCUGCUCGACCACGCCACCGGGGUGGUGAUCGGGGAGACGGCGGUGGUGGGGAGCGACGUGUCGAUACUGCAUGGGGUCACGCUCGGGGGCACCGGGAAAGAGAGCGGCGACCGGCACCCGAAGAUCGGGGACGGGGUGCUGAUCGGCGCGGGUACGCACAUCCUGGGCAAUAUAAGGAUCGGGGACGGGGCGAAGAUCGGGGCCGGGUCGGUGGUGCUGAAGGAGGUGCCGGCGCGGACGACGGCGGUGGGGAACCCGGCCAGGCUGGUCGGAGGGAAGGAGAGCCCGGUCCUGUCGGAGGGGUUGGCGGGCUUGACCAUGGACCAAACCUCAUGGUCUCGUGAUUUGUUGUAAACUGAUCAAUUAAAAAUGUAUCUGUUCUAUCAGUUAUACAUCUAUACGUUCCUUCCCAAUGCGGAGUGUGGGCAAGUAGGCCUAAGAGGUUUGGGAGUUCAGUGAGUCAUUGAGCUCCUCUGUUCCACUUUCACAAUAAAACGUGUAAUAUUGGUGUACCAAGAACCAGAUUAAUAGAAUUUAAGCAUUCAGUAGUUAACCAGAAUUGAUAGUAUUAAAUGAGGGAUUCAAAGCACUUAUUCAAUGUUUAGAAGUCAAAGAAAGAAACUUUUUUAAAAAAGAACUUUUCUUUUUAUCUCUUUUUCCUCAUCCUUGCACUUAACUGCUGGUGUACAGUGUUGCGACUUUGGUCACAAUCUUAACCUCAAUCUAUGAGUUUACUAAAAGUAGAUCAUGUCAAAUUUAAUUGAUCAAGACGGUUAGGGUUGGGCUGAAAAUGAAUUGGAUUAUUUAGAUCCUUCACUAGAAGUCACAUUAACACUGAACCAUAAAGUAAUGCACUAACUGUCAGCUCUAAUGAUCCAACCAAUCCAAAAUUAGAUUUAUUGGACUGAGAUUUUUCAACCUUAAUAUAGUAUAUAUACUAGUAUAUAUGCAAGUACUCAGUUGAAUAAUGCAGCCCUACCUGUUGACUUCAGUAUCCACUUCUAGACUACAAGCUCAAGCAUGUAGCCAGCAGGCUUGACUAUAUUUAACAAUCCUUAGCUUAAUCCAGUGGUUGUUAUUGUUGGCUUAAAUGGGUCAGCAUCCUGCUUUGUGCCGGAAGGUCAUGUGGGCCGAGUCAUGUUCGAAAUGACGUGAGGCUGGGUUGGGCCGAGUCAUGUUCGAAGUGGCGUGAGGCCGGAUGGGCCGAGUCACAAUCAAGACUCGUGGAUUCUGUAUCUGUACGCUUUAAGUAAAUUGAUUGCGUAUUUCUAACAGCUCGAGCUUUUGGGAUUAAUGAUUAGCGCCAACGAUUCGACAAGUGGUAUCAGAGCCAGUGGUCACGGGUUCGAUUCCCACAUGCUGCAAAUGUGUGCAGGUGCUGGAGAGGGGAUUGUUGGCGUAAAUUGCCUUGUGGCGAGAGGCCAUGUAGGCCGAGUCAUGUUCGAAGUGGUGUGAGGCCGGGUGGGUCGAGUCAUAAUCGAGAUCCGCGGGUGCUGUAUAAAGCAAAUUCUCCAUAGCUCUAUUUACAAAAUUGAGAAAUGAUUUGGUACUUUAUUUUUAAAAAAAUAAAAAAGAUUUUAAACGUUGAUUAAUAGAGGGUAAAGAUGUAAUUUUAAUAUUUAGCAGGUAAAAGGGUUCCUUCAUUCGAGAUUAGUUUGGUAAUUAAACUAUGCAACAUUUAAAAAAACUUUUAAUUGAUAUCCUAAAUUUACGCAUUAAUUUGCAAUAGUUUGGAUUAUAGAUUGAUUACCUAGUAUCGUUUGGUUCGGGGAUAAGCAAAAAGUGGCUAUUCCAGGAAUAGGUAUAAAUUGAGAUAUAAGCGGGGAUUAGAUCAAUUUUGCGUUUGGAUGAAAAUUGGGUUAUUUCUGGGAAUAAAAAAAAUAGCGUUUGGUUAGGUAAGAUUGAAUAAGAAGGAUAGUAGAUUUUAUAAAUAAAAAGUAAUGAUAUUAUCCUUUUAUUAUAUUUGAAUUUGAAUUUUUAAAAUUUUAAAUUUAUAUUUUUAAAUUUAAAAUUUUAACUUUAAAAUUUUAAAAUUUGAAAUUUAAAAUCUCAAAUUUUAAAUUCAAAAUUUUAAAUUUUAAAUUUCAAACUUUAAAUUUAAGAUCAAAUUUAAAUUUUAAAAAAUAAAUAAUCAAAUUUUAAAUUUAAAAAAUUUAAAAUAUCAAAUUUUAAAUUUCAAAAAUUUAAAAUAUCAAAAUUUAAAUUUAAAAUUUAAAAUUAUAAACUUUAAUUUUGAGAUUAUAAAUUAUAAAUUUUAAAAAUUUAAAUUUUUAAUUUUUAAAAUUUAAAUUUUUAAUUUUAAAAUUUUAAAGAAUAAGAGUGGGAACAAUUAUAAAAUAAUUUAUUAUAAUAAUAUAUAAAUUUUUUGAAAAUUCUACUUAAAACUUAAAUUUAAUAAAAAGAAUUUAUUAUAAUAUUUAAAUAUAUUUAUUAUAAUUUAUUAGAAUAUUUAAAUAAUAAAUAAUAUGUAUUAAUAUAGUACAAUUAAUAAUUUUAAUAAUAAAAAUAAUGUAUUUAAUAUAUACAUAUUAAAUUUAUAUAAUUUAGUUUUAGUUCAAUUUAAAUUUUAAUUAAGUUUGAAAUUAAGUAUUGGAAUAGCACUAUUCCACCAAAAUGGUAGAAUAGUAAAUUCAUUGCUAUUCCAGGAUAACUGAGAAUAGCAAAGUUUGACCGGGAUAAAAUAUCCCCGCCAAAUUUCAUCCCGUUUGGCAGAAUAGCGGGGAUAACUUUCGUUAUCCCCGCUUAUCCCCCGAACCAAACGGGUUAGUGUUUCUAUAGGCAUUAAUUUAAAUUAUAGGAAUUUUAGAAAUAAUUCUAUUUCUAAAUACGUUGAAUUUAAAUAUUAAAUAUUUAAAAAUUAAAAUAUUAAAAUUUAAGUUAGAGGAAUUUUGUAUUACUAUUGAAAAUUUUUUUAAUAUUGUUAAAUAUUUUAAUUCAACAUAUUUAAUAUAUUUAAGAAACUUUUAAAUUCCUAUAGUUUAGACAUUAAUUUUGUAUCACUUACUUAAAAAAAUUGAAUAUAGGUAAAAAAAUUGUAAAUUAAAUGUGUUUAAUAUGUUAAAAAAAAAUUCGAAUUGUUCUACUCUAGACAUUAAUUUUGUAUCACUAUUUAAAAAAAUUUGUAAUAUUGGUAAAUAUUUAAAUUUAACAUAUUUAAUAUGUUUAACAAAAUUAUGAAUUCAUCUUAGACAUUAAUUUUACAUUACUAAUUUUAAAAUUGAAUGUGGGCAAAUAUUAAAUUCAACAUAUUUAAUAUGUUGAAUUUAGUGCCAUGUGGUUUCUUUUUUAUUUUUUUAUUAUCAAUUCUAUUAAUUUUUUUCGUGAAAUUAGUAACAAAGUUAAAACUAAAGGGUACUAAAGUGAAUAUUCGAUAAACUUAGGUGGACUAAUCUGAAGUUCUUUGUAUAUAAUUUAAUAAAAUAUUAACGAAAAAACUGACCAAAAGAUAAAAAUAAAAUCAUAGGACACUAACUUGAUAAACUUUAAACCACAGGGUACUAAAGUAAGAAAAUAUAAAAUCAUAGGGUAGUAUUUGAAGUUUACCUUUGUUAUUUUUGGCAUAUGCCUCUAUUUGAGGAGAUAGUCGAGUCCACCUACUAUACUAUCAAUAACACUAAGCGUCUGGUGCUAUCGAGUUUUUUGCCGUUAGAUUAUCUCUUUGACUAUUUUUAUCCGUUAGAUCAUACUAUUCAACCAACCAACCACCCACUCAAAUCUAGAGAACUACUAUCAUCCUAACUGCACAUUCCCUAAUUCAAGAGCCGAAAACCUACCAGCAUCAAUGACUUAGUACUAUUAAUAAUAUUCUAGUCUAGUUCGAGAAAGUCUACUAUACAUAUUUAUAUUUCAUUAUCAACAAUCGGUCAAUCACAUUAUUUUUUUUAGAAAAAAAGUAUAAUAAAAAUAUUUUUUUAAUAAUCAUAAUGUAACAGCUGAAUUCAAAAAAAAAUAUUUAAUUUGUUGGAGAUGCUAACUCAGCAAUAUAACUAGCCAGUGUUUGGAUUGGGGAUAAGGGGAGGGAUAACCUCUUAUCCCCCUUUAUACCCAAAUGCAAAUUUUUUACCCGAAAAUAGUAGUUCUCGGUUAUCUAAAAUAAUCUGGUAUAACUAUCUACAUCAACACCUCUAUUUUCUAUACAUAACUAUUUAUUAUUUUUCUUAUUCCAUAUUAUCUAUCCAAAGUCCAAACGUCAUUUUUUUUAUUUUCGGGAACAACCAAUUUUCAUCCAAACGCUAUUUUUUUUAUCCUCAUACUUGUACUUAUUUCUGUAAUAACUAGUUCUUUCUUAUACCUAAACCAGACGCUUGUACGCUACCCUAGUGUAUGCUAAAUUUUUUUUCCAUUUAAAGGUGAAGGCCCACCGAAGCCAUGAGGAUCCAACACAUAACCCACAUUAAAUGGAAUUAAGAGUUGGAUCCGGAUUUGUCGUAAGCAUCCGGAUCCGAGAUCGCCAUUUAUCCAAACGGACCAAACCCUAGUGUUUCGCCUUGGGACACAUCACACGUUGGCUCCUCCUGUUGGUUCGAACCUUUUGUAAUUUUCCUUCUUUGUAUUUUCCUUUUCACUCCCUCCUCUCGAGCACGCUUCAUACGCUUUGCUCGCGCGUAUACUCGUUCUCGUUCUUAGAUUCUCGAAGAAGAGGUAAUGCAUUUUCCCCAAAUCCUUCUUUUUGAUCCUUCUAACCGUUAAAAAAAAGAAAUACUUUGUCGCAAGAUUAUUCGAUUAGUCCCAAAGAUGGGGUUUUUGCUUUAUUAUUAUUAUUUUUUGCAUAUGCACGCUUAUUGUUUGAUGAAAUGCCUCUGAAGAUUCGUUUGUGUUCAUCUACUUGUUUUAGCUCUGCAUAUAAUGGUGGGGCUCUCGGAGGGGGAGAAGCAUUUCAUUCGCGGCGGGAUCGCGCAAGACCUUCGAUCGGACGGCCGUAAGAGGCUUCAGUUCCGGUCUAUCUCCGUCGAGACCGGAGUCAUCCCGCAGGUUGCAUCUUAUAUUCCAUCAAAAAAUUUGCUUAUUGGGUUAAAGUAUGAGAAUUUAUUUCAUUCUCUAUGUAUUCUUUGUGCUUGAAUUUCUGGGGCUUCAUGAUAGGCAAAUGGUUCGGCUCGUGUUAGGUUGGGUGCGACGGACGUCAUAGCUAGCAUUAAGGUACGAAUAUUUUGCUCUAAUAUUUGUUUAAGGCAUGUAUGUAUUCAGCAAGUAUUUAAGCGCCCAUCGACACUGAUUGUGUCUAUUGGUCAUAAUAUGCCGACAAAAUAUCGGUACGAUACCAUGGCACGGUUCAAAAUCAUUCUUUUUUUUUUUUUUUGAAAUUAGCAAGUAGUUACAUCAAUAAAAUGCAAAAAGAUAUGAUAAAGAUAUAUAAUAAUCAAUUAGAAUAUAUUGAUGCAAAAAAAAAAAAAAUUCAUAUCAUUGCGUGUCAGCAUAUAGGUAUUUUUGUGAAUGACACAUAUUAGCAUGGCAUGUCAUGCACCAUGCUAUGCUGUGCCACGACACUUAAAUCCUUGGUAUUUAGCUGAUAGAGAGUGCAUCAUUUUUGCUUUGGUGGUAUUGGAUUAGUGUUGCAUCUUGGCGACAAUUUGAAUAGUGGUUUUAUGAUUAGUCAAGUGCGGUUGCUGACUAUAUGUUCGUAAAAUUUGCAUACCUGUAAUGUCGACGUGGACGAGUAGGUUACACUGUAAACGGCAUAAGGAGAAUCAACUUUAUUUGUGAUGACUGUUGACAGUGUUGAUUAAGUUGAACAUAGGAAACAGUCUUAGAUGGUUUGAUUGCAUAAAAGAGAGCUUUGUAAUGGACUAAUAAGGAGGAAUAAUCAAAUUAACAGUUGAUGUUGCUACUAGGAGGGGAAGAUCAAAUAAGGUUUGGCCUGUUUGAAUAUAUAUAAGUCGUGAGAAAAGAUGCAACAGCUUUUAGACUUUUGGACAUAACCCUGAAAAUCAAGCUGAUUACUUGAACAUAGUCCGUGCAGGGAAAUCCACAUAUCAGGACUUGCAAAGCAAAAAACCUUAAUGCAAUGUAGGUUACAUAUUUGUGUCCUUUUUAUGUUAAUCUUUAAAAAUCAUUCACUGUAUCGUGCUAACUUUGUGUUUUACAGGCUGAACUUGGGAAGCCAAGCAUUCUCCGACCUGACAAAGGAAAAGUGUCUAUAUUUGUUGAUUGCAGCCCUACAGCAGCUCCUAUGUUUGAGGUUGGCCGACUGGGCUGCACAGUGUGUUCUUUUGCUUUAAGUGUAGAUUGAAAUUUCAUGUAUGUUUGGUCAUGUGCUUCUUGCUUCUCUUGUUUGCCUCCUUUUUGCAUAUUUUAUAAGAAGGAAUGUAACAUUUUCUUGUAUAAGUUCGGUGGUUGCCUUUUAGUGUUAGUUGUUAAAUAUAAUAUUUGUUCCUGGUGUUACUCGGUUACACUAUCUUCCUUAUUAGUUCAAACUUUGUGCAUCUUCUUAGGGCCGAGGUGGUGAAGAGUUAUCAAAUGACCUCUCUGUUGCACUUCAGAGAUGCUUACUUGGUGGUACGAGCGGGGCAGGUAUUAAACUUCAGAACAUCGCUGAGGAAGUUUAUUAUAAAAAAUAUAGAAUAAGAAUGGAUGUACGAUUAUUAUUUGGUUCCUUUAAUGUCAUAUUAAUGAUAGCGCUGCCAUGCAUUAAAGGCCAAAUUAUUGAGGUUUGCAUCCCUGAUUGGUGCCUAAUGAAAAGCAUUCCAAAUGUAUUGUUUCCUCCGGCAAAAAAAUUUUAUCUUCUCUCUGGCAAUUAAUAUGCUUGUGAAAUUAUGAUUAUUGAAAUAUGAGGGCCUCUUUUACAUGCCACUGAUUUAUAUUUGAAUAAUGAAUAUAUUACCUGCUUUGCUGUUUCUAGAGUAUAAAUAUAUAUCGUCAGCGCAUGACAGAGUUACUGCUUUUAUUGCUUAUUCUUGCAAUGAUUUUGGUGUUACUGCUUUCAUCACUUAUUCUUGCAAUGAUUUUCAAUGGAAUUCUAACUUGCAUCCACGGUAACAUGCCUUCGAUGCUGUCAUAUCAUUUUAAUGUUACCAUUUUGCAUCACUUGCUCUACGAAGUGCAUGGUAUGGAAGAAAUGAAAUGCUUACUCAUUGCUCUCAUGUUCUAAGACAACAUUUAUCUAACUUGUGGUUUGUUAUUUGACUUAAUUGAUUCAUUAUGGUUUUGGUUGGAUCUGAAUUCCAGGGGCUGGAAUUGAUCUCUCCUCUCUGAUUAUCGUUGACGGUAAAGUUUGCUGGGAUCUUUAUAUUGAUGGACUUGUCAUCAGUUCAGAUGGUAAUUUACUGGAUGCGUUAGCUGCUGCUAUUAAGGUAAUAAUUUUUGGAUUGGAUUGUCGUUACUUAAUUCAGUUUCCACUGCAGCAUUCUGGAGUACUACCUUAAGUAAAAGAAGAAUCUAUUAAAUAAUUGAUCUGAGUUUUUAUGACCAAUUGUCCAGUUGAAACUAGGUCCUGAAUGAGAGUAUGGAGCUUGCCACUACCACAUCCUAUAAGUCUAUAUUAGGUUUUACACCUUCCUUUUAUUGAACUGUUUGGUGUUUUUCCUCUAUAGCCUAUUACCAUUGGCGUUAAUGUUAUUUUGUUUUUUAUUUUUUAUUUUUCAUUUGUUGCUUCGUAUUGAAAUUACGAGUUUGACAGUAAGCUCUAUGUUUUAUACUUUAGCUCUAUGUUUUAUACUUGUGGGAUAAGCCUAUUGUCGGGACUUGGAACAUUUUUCUGGCCAAAACUUAUUUUAGUAUUUUUAUUGUUUGUCCAGAUUACAUGGCUUUUUGUGCUUGAGACCCAAUUGCUAUACGAGCUUUAAUCCCUUGCAAUUCAUUUAGAGAAUCCCAAUAUGAAGGGAAAUCAGACCACAAGGAGAUCUUAAAACAUAAAAGGAGUAGAAAGAGGUUUUAAAAGAAGAGUUAAUGUCUUUUCUCACCAUGUUUAUUAUUUUUGUAUUGGGCUUUUGGGAAAUUGUAGAGUGUAGUUGUUAUUCAUUUGCCUCCAUAUAUAGUUAGAAUCUAGCUAGACAUUUCUUACUUGAAAAUUUGAAACUUGUGGAUUAAAAAGAAUUGACUGAGAGUAAUUAAAAUCAUUCUCAUGCUUUGGGAAGUAUUUUGCACCAUGCAAUAUCAACACAUGAUAAGAACUGAUGCAAUUUAGUUCUGUCAGAUCUGUUAAUAAAGCAAUUCUCUUUCUUUGCUAGGUUGCCUUAAGCAAUACUGGAAUACCAAAAGUUAGUGUUCUUGGUGCCUCAUCCGAUGAGCAACCAGAUGUUGAUGUCAGUGAUGAAGAGUUUCUACAGUUUGACACUUCUGGAGUUCCAGUUAUAGUAACUUUAACCAAAGUAAGUUGCUUUCAUUGAUCGCAAGUACUAUAAACUGUAGUUAUCGAACAUCUAUUAGACAUUGACCUGCUCAGUAAUCGAGUCACUGGGUCAUUGGUCAGAGCAGUGUGUCAACUGGUUGGACUGCUGGUUUAAUAACAUAUGAUAUAAGAUAUAAAAUAACCAGUCCAAAUUACAAGAAAAAUUAAAUUGUCUAAUGUAUUGUGUUCAAUAAAACUUUCGUGUGAUUGGGUGAGGGAGGAUGGCGAAUUGCUUGUUGCUCUAUGCAUUCGCAGCAUUUGUUUGGCAGUAAAAAGAAAAAAAAGGAAAAAGAAAAUUUGCUAGUUACUUUUUUUGGCAUCCUUUUCAUUUUAAGAUGUUGUCCUGUGUCUAGCUGCUGUAUGUUGCAAGCUAAGUAACAAUGAUACAAAACGAGAGGUGCACCCAAUCACACAAAAUUUGUGUUUAAUUAAAAAAAAAAGAAAAAGGAAAAUAAGCAACCAAACUAGGCCUUAUAGAAUAUAGCAAAUAAUCAUCAAAAAUAAAAAUAAUAUAAACCUAACUCUUAUCAUAUAUAAUGUGUGGGUUCAUUCAAAUAUUAUAGAACUACUUUGUAAGAACCUUCGAAAUUUGUAGUGAUUUCACUUUUAAGCACAUCUGAGGCUCUAGUACAAUGGUUGACUUCUUUAUCCUUCUCUUAUAUGUUGUGAAAUUGAAUCCCAUCAAUGGCAUAACAUGCAAUAUAUGUUUAUUUUCUCUCUGAAACUGUAAACACUUUCUAUAGGUUGUCAAAUUGAACCUUUAUAGAUACAUAUAGAUGAACUCUUUAUGACCUUCAUAAAAUAAACUGUCGGAUACUCUUCUUCAUGUGAUUCAAGGUGACAUUUUUCGUUUCUUGGCACCACCAAAUUAUUCACUUGAAGUAAGUGGCAUAUUUCUUCUUUUUACUAGGUUGGCAGGCACUAUAUAGUAGAUGCUACAUCAGAAGAGGAAUCUCAAAUGAGCUCUGCUAUUUCGGUCUCGGUGAAUAGGCGGGGGCAAAUAUGCGGGCUAACCAAACGUGGAGGCGCAGGAUUGGACCCAAGCGUCGUUCUUGACAUGAUAUCUGUAGCGAACAGCGUAAGCCAACAACUAAUAACCGUAUUAGAUUCAGAGAUCGCAGCCGCUGAAGCAUCCGAGGAAUGAGUGAGAUUUUAUCUGCUUUUACUAACAAGGAUGCGAAUACUUGUUGUAGACAUUAUUGUGAGAUCUAGUGAAUUGGAAGUGGUAAUGCAUUAAUGCUCUCCCAGAGAACAAUCCAAUGCCAAGUAUUUAGUUCUAUGGGAGAUGUGAUUAGCUUAGUGGGUCACUUGAUAAAUACUUUGCUUGCUUGCAAAUUGCAAUGGAUAACUUAACCUCAGAAGCAUCAUAAAUUCUUUUCUGAAGCUUUGUAUUGUUCUCAUUGCAUAUUCAAAGGAUUUUUGUUUUAACUACUAGAUCAGAUAGGUGAGAUCCAAAAGUCUUAAACCUUUCCCUCAAUAAACUCUUCUGAUCAAUGUGAUUAUUUCUUCGAUAAAGACAUAAAUGUGGGGCUGUGGAGUGUUUGGUUAAUUUUUGGCUCAGUAAAAAUGGGUAGAGUGCACCAAAACCCUGUAUAAUUUAGGUAAUUUUUUUGGUUAAAAAAUAAGUUCAAAAUAUUUUCUAAUCGUUCAAGAUAAAAUAAAGAUACAAAUAAAUAUAAGAAUUUAUAUCGAUGAGUAAGUAGAUACAAAAAAACAGAACGAAAAACCUAAUUUUCAUUUUUUUGGUCUUAGCGUAAGAUUAUAAAAAAUAUAAAAUUAAUUUAAAAUAGGGCUAAUUGCGUAUGUGUUCCUACAAAAAUGAUAAAAUUGCACAUAUUUCUCAGUGGCAGCGUAGUUGGCAAAUGUAUUUCUCUGUAUUAGUUGAUGGGUUAAAAUUGAUUUUUUUUCUGCAUAAUAAUCAUUCUGCUCUUAAAUAAACAUUUUUUAAUUAUAUUUAAAAUGGUCUAUUAAUUUUAAUAGUAGAUUUUAAUUUUUAUACUAUUCUACGUGAACUCUAAAUUAUAAAUUAUAGUCAACCUAUAAAAAUAUAUUCUAUGUAUUCUUUAAAAUAAGCAUACACAGGAAUAAAUCUGUGCAAAAUUAUUCUUAAAAAAAAUUAAUAGCUUUUCAAAAUAUUGUUUUCGAUCGCUCUCUUUCUCAUGCUUUAUUCAUCUUUCCGGUUUUCCUCUUUUCUCCGUACAAAAAAAAAAAAAAAAAAAAAAAAAAAGCGAACUCCCUGAUACCCAUCAAACGAUGAAACCUGCCUCGCUUCGCCGCUUCUCCUCCUCCGCCUCCUCCCCGACCCCGUCCUCUCCCUCCUCUUCUUCCGCUUCGCCUCCCUCCGAAACCCUAGCUCCCAAUCCCUCCUCACCCGCUCCAUCCUCCUCCACGCCCUCACCAAAUCCCGCCGCUUCCGCUCCGCCGAAUCCAUCCUGCGCACCUCCCUCCUCCCCGAUCGCCAGGUCUCCUCCUCGGCGCUCUUCGACGCCCUCCUCUUCUCCUACCGCCUCUGCGACUCCUCCCCCGCCGUGUUCGACGCCCUCUUCGCCGCCUACGCCCACGCCAACAAGUUCCGCGACGCCACCGACACCCUCCGCCGGAUGCGGGACUACGGCUUCCUCCCAAAGGUGCGAUCUUGCAACGCGUUCCUGAGCUCGCUUCUCCGCUUCGGCCGCGCUGACAUCGCCCUCUCCUUCUACCGGGAGAUGCGCCGGAGCCGGAUCUCCCCCAAUGUGUUUACUCUCAAUAUGGUCAUGUGCGCGUUCUGCGGGGCGGGGAAGUUGGAGAAGGCUUUGGAGGUGUUCGGAAAAAUGGAAUCUUUAGGGUUUAGUCCCACUGUCGCUUCUUUCAACACGUUGAUCUCCGCUCACUGUAAGAAUGGUCUCAUGAGUGGUGCUGUGAAGCUCAAGAAUUCGAUGGGCAGUAAGGGUUUAGAGCCGAAUGCGAUAACUUAUAAUACUCUGAUUAAUGGGUUCUGCAAGGAAGGAAAGAUGCACGAAGCCAAUAGGAUUUUUGCUGAGAUGAAAUCUGCGGGAUUGAGUCCAAACACGGUUACUUACAAUACUUUGAUCAGUGGUUAUAGUUCUAUUAACAGCAGUGAGAUGGCCUCGAGACUUUUUGCGGAGAUGGUGAAUAAUGGGGUGGAAGUUGAUAUCACAACAUAUAAUGCACUCAUUUUGGGGCUUUGCAAUGAAGGGAAGACGAAGAAGGCCGCUUACUUGGUGAAAGAGCUCGAUAAAGCUAAUCUUGGGCCCAAUGCGUCGACAUUUGCUGCUCUUAUUCGUGGGCAAUGCAAGAGGGAGAAUUCCGAGCGGGCACUUCAGAUUUACACAGCCAUGAAAAAGAGCGGGUUUCAUCUCAGUCGAGAUUUGUAUAUGUUGUUAAUAUCUACCUUUUGUAAGAAUAAGGAUUUUGAGGGAGCAGUGGAGGUACUGAAGGAGUUGUUGGAGAGAUGGAUGAGUCCAGAUGAAGCUUUAUUGAAAGAGCUUCUUGAGGGGCUUUCCGAAUCUGGGAAGAUCCACUUGGCGGAUAGAUUGAGGUCAGAAGUUGGGAAUGCGAGGCUCAUUCCAGAAGAUUACUUUACCAGUGUUCCUAAAAGCAAAGAAAUGGAGAUUACAUGCUAACAGAUAGAGGGAGAAGGUAUGAGGAAUGGAGAAAAUAAGUUUGCAUCCAUGGAUUACAAGGCCUGCGGGGGCUGACAAGAUUAUAAAUGUAUAAAGGUCAAUGCUUGAAGGUAUUGAUGAACAAGGCAGUUUAAUUUUUUUAUCUAGCGAACCGAGUUAAAAGAAGGCAUCAUUUCAUUCUGACUGCUGAAACUUCAUACAAUUGGCUCUAGCAGUACAAACUCCAAACUAUGAUAUUCUGAUUGCUUCAUAUCUUAUUGCUAAACAUACUAUGAGCUUUUAUAGUAAUAAAAGUUACUAGAGAGGAAAGCACAUAUACCUGCAUUUCAUUGGUUUUUCUGAUUUAAAUUGGUGGCCGGUUCUCUGUCAUAGCUGGUCUGGUUACUGUUCCCUUCUCUUUGAUAUGAAGUGGUUUACUGAUUUAUAAGUUAUAUGUUAUAGUCUGACUGCAAAACCUGUUAAAAAUAAUUUCCGUUACAUCUGACUGUUUGAACAGCUUCGAGGUUUGUUAUAUAAGUGUUAUUGAAGGGGACUUCCAAAGUUUUGGAUGGCUUCUUACAUAAUAAACUCAUUUAUUUGCCCUUAACAAUGUAGAGCAGCUAGGUUUGUUUCCUGCUGCCACAUGUACAUGCUACUGAUAGAAGUGUUUCAGAGGCUUCCUAAUUGCUAUAGCCUUUUUGCAUGCUCAAACUACUUUAGAAGACCUAAAAAGUUGCAUAUGGUUGUAUAUUAAGUCAGCAAACUUUGAAAUCUUUCCUUCGGCGAUUCCUAAGCUUGUGUUAGUGCAUUAAUGUUAAUUAUAUAGAUGACAAAACUGUGACAGUGGAUUCUCAAUGGAAGAAUUACUACCUAUGAGAUGGUUGCAUAGGGUAUGGAGUAGCUUAUCAAAAAUCAUUUCUGGCAGGUGGGUAUUCUAGAAUGAUGAAUUUUUAUUACAAUCUACACACUUUAAGAGUUAGCCUAGGAGGCAGGUAAGGUGAAACGGAAGAGGUCAAAGCGAUUGGCGGAGAUGACAGGUAUGUCUAUGAAAUCAGGCUCUUCUGUUUCUCUUACUGAUUCAAGGCCAUCUUUUUGCAUCUUGAUAUUGGUAUUAUUCCUUUUAUCUCAUUAUGCCUAUUUAUAGCUUGAUACUUCUGUAUUAACCAAUAGAUUGAAUGAAAUUUAUGUAAGUUGAUUUCCACCUAUUUUUGAGCAUUUUCAAAAAAUUGUUCUAAAAUGAUCUGGAUAAUCGGUAUUAUGACUUAUGAGCAAAAUAGUUAAUGAAGAUUUUUACAUCAUCCCUCAAGAUAUCUCUAAAUCUCUAAUUAGAUGGUUUUACUUUCGAACAAUUUAUUUUGUUAGUUUUGAGCAACGGAGAUGAAUAUUAUGCUACUUCAUUAAUUGUUUUGGAUUUUUUUUUUUUUGGGGGUGUGCUUUGUGCUUUCUGACAUAGAAUGGUGCUGCCGUUGAAGUACCGUGCAUAGAAAAUAGUAGAGUACUCUUGCUACGGGAAGCAUAAAUGCCUAAGGCAGAUUAUUUCGUGUUAAACAAUAAAGGAGAAUGUGAUGAAUGGUUGAAUCUUUGACAUGAUAGGUGGAAAAGUGACAUGAUAUGGGCAUCUUAAUAUUUGAACCAUUGUGUGUAGGUUGUUGCUCUUUAAGGCAAAUUAGGAAAUAUAACCUGUUGAACAAAGGUAAGUCAUUGACCAAGAUCAUGCAGUUAAUUAGAUAAACUUGCGCACCCACUUGUAAUUUGAGCUGCACAGGCCCAGAAUUCAAGGUGACCUCUCAUCUAAUCGCUUCCAAGACACUCUUUUGCUACCCUAUUUAUUUCAUUUCAAUGGAAUCUCGUGGCAGUACUUUUUAUUAUUCAAUUAUGUGGAGAAACUAAAUUCAUCUCGACUUGUUAUUUAGACAAUGUCUGGUACUAGAUGUUGAUCUUGCCUGAACUUUUAUAAUAAUUCUUUGGCGACCUAAUAUUUUUUACAAAUCACCUUUCUUAUCCAAACUUACGGGAAAGAGUUGUUCCUUGCUGCAGAGUUGAACAGAACUAGAAACCGUACGCCCUAAAGCAGUGGAAAGAGAAAAGUAACUCAUGCUGGGGAAGAAAUAACCAACAUUCUCAGAUUUCUUGUGCUCCUGACUGAAAAAAUGGAACUCUUUCUGGUAUAACUCAAUUAUCACCAAGUACAGCUAGAUGCAGCUGGAAAUAAUAUUACUUCAUGAAGAUUGUGGACACUAUCCAAAGCCUAUACAUAUGGAUCAUAAGGUGUGGCAACCAGGCACAGUUGAUGUUUCCUCCUCAAUGCCGCUCCAAAGGUCUCAUCCAUGCUUAUUAGUUCUUCAGGUCUAAUCCCAUCGCGAGCUUCCAAUUGAAAUGGUAAGUAUCUGAGCAAGCCCAAUUUCCACAUUUGCUAAUCCAAAUUCUUCUCCUGCCAUCGAAUGGCAGGUACUUCAUGCUUACCCCCCCAUAAUCCGCCAAACUCUGAUCGAACCUUGAAGACAUUGUUUGGUUGUGGAAGGAGGGGAAUAAGGGUCUUAUUCCUCUCCUUGUUUCCAAACACCAAAAAAAAAAAAAAAGAAAAAAAAAAAUCUACUUUCCCUCUUAAUGGGUUAUUCUAGCAUUGUUGUUCCACUCUUUUGGUGGAACAACAAUUCCUCCACUUACACCUCUACUAAUUUAAUAAUAAAAUAUAUUAAAUAAUGUACUAUAUGCUAAUUAAUUUACUAAUUAACUAGAUAAAUAAUCAACCACUUGAUUUAUUACUCUAAUAAAUAUUUAAUUAAGUAUAUGAGUAAUUAAUUUAUUAUUUAUAAUUAAUUAGAUAAUUAAAAAUAUAAUUAUUUCUUAUUGUGUUUAUGCAAUAACUAAUAUUUAUAUUGAUUAACUAAUUAAUAUUUUACUAAUCUAAUUAUUUUCUUAACUAAUUAUCUAACUAUUAAAUAAUUAACUAAUAGAUUUAUUAAUUUAUUAAAUUACUUGUGGUUAAUUAAUUUAUUAAUUAACAUUUUUGGUUUUCUGGUAGUAUUCAUGAUAACCUAAUUAAUAAAAUUAAACUAUUUUUUAAUUAAUAUUUUUACGUUAAUUAAUUAGCUAAAUUACUUAUUAUUUUAAAACUAUAAUUACUCUUAUCCUCACUGUUUCAAUCAAACUAUCUAAAUCUUUUUCUCAGGGGCAAUCUAAUUUUCAUCCAAACGCAAAAUUGAUCUCAUUCCUGCUUAUUCCAAGAGUUGUACCUAUAUCAGGAAUAAUCAAAAACAGCUUAUUUUCGAAUCAAAGGAUACUUAAAAGUUUCCUUCACCACCAUUUUCAGGUAGCUCAUCUUUGCUAUUUCGUUAUCUCCUGUCUCUGUUCGCCUUUCCAUUACACCUCUUAUCUCGGUUUGGACCUUCGCCAUUACCUUCGGAUGCUUGAUCAGCUAGGUCAUUGCCGACUCCAUCGUGCUCGAGGCGCUGUCAGUCCCAGCAGCAAACAUGUCCUGAAGAGUUAACAGAGGAGAUGCGAGGAGAUGGAGUAAAAAGAGAUGAUGGUAUUGCUAUGGUUUUGAGGUAAAUUACGCCGGAAUGCCUGAUCUAUAGGAUAAAUUUAAUUUAGUUUCUAAAAUAAAUUUAUCUUAAAUAAGGCUUGUUAUCAGCUUCCACAUAGGAGAAUGUAACAUUAUACCCAUUUGAAAUCAGGUUUCCUGUCAUUUUAAUGACUGUUUAAUUAGUGUCUUUUGCCACCUCUCAUAAUGGAAUUGGAUAGGAAUUGAAGUUUUAAGAGACCAAAUUGAUCGUUCGUAGACUUUGCCUUGAUUUAAAUUUUUAUUAUUUUGAAAAGAUUGUGUUUUUACAAAGGAGCGUAGCGAGACGCAUGGCAUCCAAUCUAGAUUCCUAAUAUCUGACUUUGGUCGGAGUGACGUGCGUCUCACUAAGACAUUCUGAAUUAUGUCAUCAGAUCUGCUCUGCACGGUGCCGUCCGAAGGCUGUGAGACCUGGGUGUCUCGGUGAGGGUGGUGGCGAGGGCUGUGAACGAGCCGCAUUCAAGCAUGCCGGUGUCAACUCAUGUUCGAACGCCCAUGUUCGACACGUUUAAUGAACGAGCCGAAUAAGAGGUGGCUCGUUAAGAUAUUGAAAAUUGGAAAAUUAGAAUUUCAAUCUAAUAACUAAAGUUCAUAAAACACAGGUUUAUUUUUAUUUGGAUUGGCCUAAAAUUCUAGUAAUAAAAUUUUUUAAUAUAUAUAUAUAUAUUAUAUUUGUUGAAAAUUUAAACGAGUAUGAAAGUGUGAAAAUAGAUAGCGGUGUAAAUUCUCACCUCCUUCGUAUUUAAUGCAGUUGAAGGAAUCUAGUUGCGUCAACGGCAGCUUCAAAUUUCAAUGGUCUUCAAACUUAAAAUACUGUAAUCCAACUCUGAAGUGGGGAGAGCAAAUGGGCUAAAGGCCUACGGGCCGAAUGGUGUAGACGAAUGCUGAAAUGUCAAUCAAGGCCGUGUGAAGUUCUGCAAAUGAUGUAGACGAAUGCACGAAUAUGUUGUUCGACAUUUCUCUUUUGAUUUACUCGUCGGCUUGGUAAGUAUUUUGAUUGCACGGUGAAGUCGGAGACUGGAGACACCAAAUCAUUGCAUUGUAACGGUAGUGAGUUUGUGUAUGUUGCGAAUGAACGACUUUGUUCCCGUAGAGGCAGCGUGAAAUGGCAACAAUUCGUCUUUACCAAUCUUGAAACAGAAAAUCUUUAUGCCACAAAAGAUUUUAUAUAUAUAUAUAUAUAUAUAUAUAUAUAUAUAUAUAUAUAUAUAUAUAUAUAUAUAUAUAUUAUCGUUUGUUUCCAGAGCAAGUGGCAAAGAAUUUUGUGGUCGAUAUCCGAAGUUCUAAGUUCGAAUUCUAAUUGAUNCGAAAGGAUUCAAAAUCAAUAAUUUUUAAUGGUUGAUAUCUGCCGUUUUCAAGUUUAACGGUGUAGAAGUAUUCAAAUCAGAUAAAAUUUUGAUACAAAAUUUUUUAUACUAUCUACCACAAGAUCAAUAUUUCUGAUCGAAAAUUUUAGUGCUAUAUCAUCACUUUUUAUAUGAUUUUCAUUUUCAGCCGUUAAAAAUUAUUAAUUUGAUUUUGAAUCCUUUCGAUUGCUAGGUAAAUGAUAUCGAAAAAUUGCAAAAAUUAUUUUCUAGAAACUUCAAAUACGCUAAAUCAAGUCUAACGGAGCCAAUCGUCGAUUUGGAAAUUCCAUCAUAAAAAAUAACUCGGGAGCACGGAGGGCUCCGUGCUCCUGAGAGCACAGCAGCCCAGCUCUCUCUGUCUCUCUCUCUGUCUCUCUCUCUCUCUCUCUCUCUCUCUCUCUCUCUCUCUCUCUCUCUAUAUAUAUAUAGUCCGGCUGGGAUCCUAGUUUGUUAAUUCGCGAAUUAUUCGCGAAUUAUUGAAAAUUCGAAUUAAGCGGUCCGUUUACGAAUUUUUUCCAAAAAAGUGAAUUAUUCGCGAAUUUUUGGGCCAGCCGAAUUAUUCGCGAAUUAUUCAUGAAUUAUUCCCGAAUUAUUUUCAAAUUAUUGAAAAUAUGAAUAAAAAACUUAUAAUUUUUAUUUUUAAAUAUAAAUUAUCUUAUAUUUUAUAUCUUAUAUUUUACACUUUAUACCGAAUCCUUUUUUUAAGCCGAAUUUUUCAACGAAUUUAAAAAUUAUAAAACGAAUUUUAUGCGUAUUAUAUUCGUACCGAAUUUUUGUCGAAUCCGAAUUAACUAACUAUGGCUGGGAUACUAUCGAUAGUACCAAACAUUUGGUGCUAUCAAGUUUUCUGCCAUUAGAUUUACCUUUUUUAUCAUUUUCAUCCGUUCGAUUAUACUAUUCAACCAACCACCUAUUCAACCCUAAGGGGUCCACAUUAUCCUAACCACACAUCUUUUAAUUCAAGGGUAGAAAACUUAAUAGCACUAAGUCAUUAGUGCUAUUAAUAGUAUUCCAGCCUAGUUAUAUAUAUAUGUAGAGUAGGUCUUGUGUGCUAUUAGGAGCACGGAAGCCUCCGUGCUCCUAAGCCGUUUUCGAUUAUAGAAUUUUCGAAUCGGCGAUCGGCUCUGUUAGAUUUGAUCUAGCAUAUUUGAAGUAACUAGAAAAUAAAUUUUGCGAUUUUUCGAUAUCAUUUACCUAACGAUCGAAAGGGUUCAAAAUUAACGGCUGAAAAUAAAAAUCUCAUAAAAAGUGGUGAUAUAGCACUAAAAUUUUCGAUCAAAAAUAUUGAUCUUGCUGUAAAUAGUAUAAAGAAUUUUCUAUCAAAAUUUUAUCUGAUUUGAAUACUUCUACACCGUUAAACUUGGAAACUGUAUAUAUCAACCAUUAAAAAUUAUUAAUUUUGAACCCUUUUGAUCACUAGGUAAAUGAUAUCGAAAAAUUACAAAAUUUAUUUUCUAAAUACUUCAAAUAUGCUAGAUCAAGUCUAGUAGAGCCGAUCGUCGAAUCAGAAACUCUAUAAUUGGAAACGACUUAGGAGCACGGAGGCCUUUGUGCUCCUAAUAGCAUACAAGACCUACUAUAUAUAUAUAUAUAUAUAUAUAUAUAUAUAUAUAUAUAUAUAGUGAGGCUAAUAUGCUUUUGGAAGCACGGAGCCUUUCGUGCUUACAGGUCGUUUUCGAUGUUGCGACUUUCGAAUCGUGGAUCGGCUCCGUUAAACUUGAUCUAGAGUAUUUGAAGUAUCUAGAAAAUAAAUUUUACGAUUUUUCGAUAUUAUUUGCCUAGUGAAUGAAGGGGUUCAAAAUCAACGACUGAAAAUAAAAAUCUUACAAAACAUGAUAAUAUGAACAUUAAAAUUUUAGAUCAAAGAUAUUGAUCUUGUUUUAUAUAGUAUAAAAAAUUUUCUAUCAAAAUUUCAUGUGAUUUGGAUAUUUCCACACCGUUAAACUUGCAAAUAGCUCACUACGGCCAUUAAAGAUUUUGAGCCCAUUCGAUCACUAGACAAAUGAUAUCGAAAAAUCAUAAAAUUUAUUUUCUAGGUACUUUAAAUACUCUAGAUCAAGUUUAACGGAGCCGAUCGACGAUUUGAAAGUCGCAACAUCGAAAACGACCUGGAAGCACGGAAAGCUCCGUGCUUCCAGAAGCAUAGUAGCCUCACACUAUAUAUAUAUAUAUAUAUAUAUAGAGAGAGAGAGAGAGAGAGAGAGAGAGAGAGAGAGAGAGAGAGAGAGAGAGUCUGGAGAUAAUUCUAUAUAUUAUAAAUAUAUAAUAUAUAUAUAUAUAUAUAUAUUAUUGAUGUUUCAAUAAAUUGUAAUAUAUCUAUUCUAUUUCAUUUUUAUUUAAGUUUAUUCUUGAACUAUCAUUUCCAUUAGGCAGAUUUGAAUUUAGAAGUAUUGAUUUAAAAAGUCGGACUUGAUAUUUCUGACAUAUAAGAAAUUGUCCAUUUUUUAUUUUUUUUUAAGGUACCGUUUGGUUCGGGUAUAAGCAAGAACUAACUAUUACUAGGAUGGACAAGUAUAGGAUAAGAAAAAUAGUGUAUUGAUGAAAAUUGAAAUUGUUCUCGAGGAUAGAAAAAUAUUAGAAAGUUUUAUAUAGAAAAUGGAGGGUGUUGGUGGAAUAAACCGAGAACUACUAUUCUCGGAUAAAAAUAUUAGGUUUGGAUAUAAAGGGGGAUAAGAGCCUAUUCCCUAUUCCUUACUUUCCAAACCAAACGGUCUAAGGGAUGCGCCCGUAGGGCCAAAUGCACACGUGUUGAUAAUAUCACUGGAUGCGUUACGUUAACGAAUAGGAUAUAUCUUCCCUUCCUGCUUUUCAUAUUAAUAUUUUUAUACUUCGGAAGGUUGCGGGAUAGGGUUCUACAGACAAGGCCUCAAAAGGAAAAAAGAAGUUUGGACAGUAACGUAAAUUUUGCAUCUUCAAUACCUUAAAUAUAAGGUGAGAAUUUCUAUCGAAGAAAGUUUUCGACGAAUAUUUAUUCAAUCUGUAAAAAUUUGUGUUAAAAAUAGGUAACACGUGACCACUUCAUUCAAUAAGAAAAUAAAUUUAGUAUAUUUGUAUUGAGAAGUCAUGACCUCGGAAUGAGAAACAAGUAGAUAGAAAAAAAA
This 43329-nucleotide long non-coding RNA is filed under the name Ananas comosus (pineapple). Its description in RNAcentral is "long non-coding RNA (ACOM_LNC023034)". Lineage: Eukaryota; Viridiplantae; Streptophyta; Magnoliopsida; Poales; Bromeliaceae. The record is from RNAcentral.